CUUGCCUGUGGGCCUGUGACCAGUUAUGCUGACUCUUUUUCCAUAACACCUUUGUUUGCUGUCAUCUUGGCCUUAAUCCCACCAGAACCUCAGGAGCUCAAGAUUUAUGGUUGUCUUACUAGCAGAACUACUCUUCCUCCCCAGUAAAGCUUCAAGAAUGAAAUGAAGGGCAUAUUGUGAAUAAGAUCUUUCAGUUGAGGAAUGUACAGUGGAAAGAAAAUAAAUAUAAUUUCUCAGUUGUGAGAACUGGUGAGAUUAGGAGAGAAACAGAUGAGAAACAAGCUGUGGCUACAUGCAGGAGAAGUCAGCCUUCUUGUGCACUGUGCACAGGCCAGCUGGCAGGACAGGAAUUAGAUGCUGACUAUUCAUCAAAAGUUUUUACAACAGAACUCUGUCAAUGGACAGUAAUGAGCUUGAGGGAUUCAGAGCAGUGUGUUACUGCCCAUCUUCAAAAAUGGCCAAAACAUCUCUGUAAGUGCCCCAGCAUCAUCAACUGAUGGCAGCACAGCUCUGGGAAUAAACAGACUUUACCUAAUGGCAGGAAUCGACAGGGAAAACAUGAAACAGAGAAAGCAAUACCAGGAUAACAGCACUGUCAUUUCCAAGAUGUGGACACUGCCUCCUGCAACAGAAUAGCAGCAGCAGGGCUGGUUUCAGCGGAUCACUGCAUUUGAAGGUAUAUUUUGAUAGAAUAUCAAAUAUAUUUUGAUAAAACCAAAGUCAAACCUUUUCAAAAUCACUACCCUCCCUUCUUUUUUUUUUUUUCCUCUUGCAACUUUUUUUUUUUUUUUUUUUAAACUUUAGGCUGGAUUUAAAAAUAGGUUGGUUAUAUCCGAAUAUUAAAAAAUAUAUAGCUUGUUCUCUAAAUAAUAGAAAUAAAAUACAUUCUAGAUUUCGACAGCCCUCCAUCUUCGGCAAACAGAUAAAAAAGUUAUUCAUGGCUACUGGCAGUUUCUGUGCUACCUCUCUGCUCGGCUAUUUGGCAGACAAAACCAGCUGCAGCCCUCUGACUCUCCGCCACAGACCCAUGCUUUCACCUCAGGAAAGUCCAUCCACAUACACUGCUGCCUCAUUCUUGAAAUUUAGAGUCUUUUAGCUUUUGUAAAUUGUUAUCAGCAAGUAUUAUGGUAAUGUCUAUUUUUUAGAAUUUUAAGAUAACAUUGCUUUGCUGAUUGUUCCAAUAUCCCCUAACAAUGAAAUAUAGUAAUACAAAAGUUAACUAAGGUAUAAACAUGCAAAAGGAGAAGUCUCCCUGCGAUCAUAAAAUGAUGUUAUUUUCUGUUCAGCAGUUCAUGUUACUGCUGUUCAUGCUAAUUAAUUAAAGGAGCUGUUGCUGUAAUGUGCAAACAGGGAAUCUGAGAAACUGAGAGGGCUUUUAGGUCUCGGAGUGAAGUUAAGUCAAUCUGGGCGCGGGCAAUCAAAUGUAAUGAAAUCACUUGUCAGUGCUAAGCUUGCAAAAACUGUGAAGUUUGACUAGGGAGUAAAAGGAUUAUAAUUAGAUUUCCAAUAGGAUAAUAACUAAAUGGCAGAAAGCAGUAAAGAGAAAAUAUUACUUUGUUAGCUAAUGGUGCUGCUGUUCGGUUUUAGUUUUUAUCAGCACACUUGUAGUUGUACUAAUUUAAUUUGCUUUUAUCAGCAAAAAUGCACUACUCGAAUGGUACUUGAAUGUCAUUUGCAAAAAACAUUGAUCUGAAGGUGCACUUAAUGACACCCAGUAUGUUUAUUUUAUGUGAAACGGAGAUUGCUUGAUAAAAUGGUUGAUGCAGUAUCUUCCUGGCCCAAGAGUGAGUUAUGGAAGCAAGAGCAGAAGGUAUCAGCACAUGCAUUGCCUGCUCCUGCACCACUCAGCUAUGCAGGGGCUGUCAGACUACAGCAACUAUUUCUUUUCUAUUUGUCAGCUAACAGGCCCCUCACAGAUUGAGCUGUGCUGGACCAGAAGCUCAGGGGUAUGGAGGACAGAGCUACAGACUGUAAAGUUUGAAAAACUUUUAGUCUUGUCAGCACAAAAUUUCAGUUCAAUUAAUACACAGAGCAUAGGGAAAAUGAGUCUACUAAACGGAAGAGAUUUAUAACGCAUAUCAGAAUCUCAGAAAAUGAACAGCUUGUGUUAAUAAAAUCAUUUUAAGAAAUGAGCAUAAAAUAUGAUAUGACUUAAUCACUGUGCAGUAUUUUUGCAAUUUUCCUUUAAACCACCUUAAGGAGAUACUGGCAGUGAAACUAAUUGAAUUUCAAAGGAAAGGCACUGUGUGAAUGAUAGAUUUCUGUCCAGCAGAGUUAUUGACAACAAAAAAAGAAAGGUCUGCAUUGACACUGAGGCUUUUUUCUGUGCACUAGAGAGAGAUUCUGGAUGCUUGGAAGCAGCUUUGUAUUAGAGACGUGUGUUUUGACCCUUCCUUCUCCCAGGGCCCAAAAAACAAAGGCUGUAAAUGAAGGGGGCAGUGGAGGCAGUGUACUCAAACUGUUAAGACUGCAGUGCAAGAGUUGCUGUCAAGUUUCAGAAACUGUAAAUCAAAAGAAAACAGAAUAAAAAGAUAUUACAGUAUCAGCAUAAAUAAAAAUGGAGGAGAUGAUGCUAAGGAACAGAAAUACUCUGAAACCUAGACUAGCUCUAUAGAGAGAUCUUAAAAAGCUUUUCUAUCAGCUGAGAGUGCUUAGUGAAAGAACUGGAUAAACUCAUCACACAUUUACAUAUCAACAGGAUUACCAAACUGAAAGUGUCAGAGAAUCCCAUAUAUGCUGCCAUUCAUGGCUGUGGUGAAGACAAGAAAUGACAUAUUCUGCUUUCACAGCGGGGUACCAAAUGCAGAGAUAUUGAACAUAAUCAGUGAGUGUCCAGGUCUCCCUUGGUUCAGGUUUUUGACAUGAAAAAAAGCUUUGUAACCCAAAGCCUUUUAAAACUGAGAUUUAAGGGGAAAAAAAAAUCAAAACAAACAAACAAACAAACAAAACAAAAAACCUCUCUGAAAUUAAAAUCCUAAGAUCACAGGGCAUUCUUCUUUAUCAGUAAUACUCAAGAAGUGAAAAUAAAUUCUGAGUCCUUCUGUAAGUAAAUGGGGCUAUUACAAGUGGCUAUGCAACACCCUUCUCACAGUUACUUACACUCUUUUUUAAUAGAAGACAGAUUUGAGCCAACUGUAACCUUUUUCUUUCUUUAAAAAUGACAAUUAACUUCCUUUUUAUUCCAGUAGAUUCAACCCAGGUACACCUUGGACUCACAGAAUCUUUUUGGGAGAGCACUGAGCGCUUAUCUCAGCAGAUACUGUAAAUAGCACUAGGAAACAGUAGGAAUCAUUUGCAUUUCAAAUUACAAUACAUGUCCUGAGUGCUUAUCCAAUAUUUUGACUAUUUCUGGCAGUAACAAUUUUCAAACUGCAAUACUUAGUGCACAACUCCAAUCAUAUGUGUACAUAUACAUGACUAUAAAUAUGUUGUAUUAUAUAUGUAUAUAUGUAAUUCUCCUUUUUUGUUAUGUGUAGCAUAUGAACCUAAAAUCACAAAAAGCGACAGCAGUAAAAAUAUUUGAAAGCUUUCCUGUAUAGAUGACAGAUGGACAACAGAUGCGUACCAGAGGUAUGCAAAGUCAAGCCUUUAACAGUUGACAAAUGCUAAAGGUUAUGUUUCUAUCUCUAUCUGCACUGGUUCUAGCAGUACCUAAGAUAGAAUUCUCUAUCAGAUAUUCUCGUAAUACCCUCUGGUAUGUGCACAUCUAUUUAAAUGCAUACUAAACAUUUCUUUUAAGCCUUCUGGAACUUUUGUCUUGCUAAAUUUGCCAUCUUGUGAUUUCCAUCAUCUACUGUUUAUGUACUUUUUGAAAACAUGUAUGAUCUUGAAAGGAAAGCAAGGAUCGGAAGUGAAAUAUUUUAAAAAGAUAAAUCAUUUGUAAGAUCAUUUUUGGACUAAGCCUGUAUAUCUGAGUAUGAUAAGUAUCUAAGUAUGAGUGUUUCCCACACCUCUGUUUAAACAAAUACAAUUACUGAUCUUGUAAAGUAGCAAUCUUGCUAUACUUCUUUUCUGUAUUGAGCAGGAAGACAAAAUGAAGUUCCAUAAUUUACAUUUAUCUUAAUACAGGAAAACAAGAGGUGCAAAAAACUAUGUAUUUCAUUUUUUAAUAUGGCUUGUGAUAAACGUGUAUGUAAUAGAAGGAGGUACAUA
Molecule: long non-coding RNA, 4152 nt
Organism: Lagopus muta (rock ptarmigan)
Lineage: Eukaryota; Metazoa; Chordata; Aves; Galliformes; Phasianidae
Exons: 7
Source: RefSeq, a predicted model, not a curated record